This 329-nucleotide small nuclear RNA is filed under the name Octodon degus (degu). Its description in RNAcentral is "7SK RNA (ENSODEG00000023629.1)". It matches the Rfam family "7SK RNA". Rfam says of the family: 7SK was discovered as an abundant small nuclear RNA in the mid-70s but a possible function has only recently been suggested. Two independent studies have found that 7SK RNA binds the CDK9/cyclin T complex (known as elongation factor P-TEFb). Lineage: Eukaryota; Metazoa; Chordata; Mammalia; Rodentia; Octodontidae. The record is from RNAcentral.
UGAGAGAGAAAACUGGCUGUAACAUCUCCCACCCCAUUAAUGCCAGGGUUGAUUUGGCUGGUCUGGCUGCCAAGGCAAGUGUCCCUUUCCUCCUCACUGCUCCAUGGUAGCCUCCCAAAGCUGCAUGGUUGAUCAAAAAGAACACCUACUCCUUGUAGAGGAGGAACCCUUCCUCCUCUUGGUAUGCAAGUAGGUACACUUCCCUGCUAGAACUUCCAAACAAACUCUUAAUGCCCACCUACUAAUUUUAGAAGUCCCAACUUCUGUUAGGAACUACUCAAGAAAACUCAUUUAUUCCUGGGAGGACAAUAAAAAUUGUUCUCUUACAG